RNAcentral lists this unclassified non-coding RNA (550 nucleotides) under Hevea brasiliensis (rubber tree). Lineage: Eukaryota; Viridiplantae; Streptophyta; Magnoliopsida; Malpighiales; Euphorbiaceae. The record is from RNAcentral.
AGCAACAGUUAAUGUUAGUUACAUACUGAUAUUCUCAUUGAUAAAUAUUGCCUUCCAUUUAGAACUUCUCAGAUUGACUAAACAUUAAUUCAUAACAUUAUGCAGCAACCUGAUGUUAGAAAAACAUCAAGAAUUUACAAUCUGAGCACGAAAUCAUUCACACGCUGGUUUCGUGUCGAAGCUGCUCAAGCAGAUUGCAAAAGCUUGGAAGGCGGAGAGCGGGUAGCAGUAAUCCAUGGUGAAGAUAUCUUUUCCAAUUUUCCCAAAUUGUAAAAUUGUAGUUUCUUGUACUGCAGCUGGUAUAUUGUGAGAUGGAUCAACUGCUGCCGCAAGCUGAAAGUUUUUCACGGAUGCCACUGUCACGCGGCCUUUGAAAUUUAGGCACCAGCACUGCAAUUGUUCGUGCCAUCGAGGGGCCUUGUUUUUAAGCACAAGUGGCUCUCGAGAAGGCCCAGACACUGAUGAGCUGAUAUUUACAGCUGGCUCCUUGGCUUUAGAGGGCCUCUCAUCAAAAGAUUGUGGGAAUGAUGUAGGCGUUGGAGCACUACCU